This is a non-coding RNA of Acyrthosiphon pisum (pea aphid), 65 nucleotides long. NCBI's taxonomy places the organism in Eukaryota, Metazoa, Arthropoda, Insecta, Hemiptera, Aphididae. The record is from RefSeq and is marked provisional.
UCUCGUUAUAUCUGACGUCGGGGAAUGGUAUAUAUACCAGAACUCCAGCGUAGAUACUCGAUGCG